RNAcentral lists this ribosomal RNA (1395 nucleotides) under uncultured bacterium. RNAcentral describes it as "16S ribosomal RNA". It matches the Rfam family "Bacterial small subunit ribosomal RNA". The record is from RNAcentral.
UUUAGUGGCGGACUGGUGAGUAACACGUAAGCAACCUGCCUAUUAGAGGGGAAUAACAGCGAGAAAUCGUUGCUAAUACCGCAUAUGCCCGACUAUCCACAUGGAUUGUCGGGGAAAGGAGUAAUCCGCUAAUAGAUGGGCUUGCGUCUGAUUAGAUAGUUGGUGGGGUAACGGCCUACCAAGUCGACGAUCAGUAGCCGGACUGAGAGGUUCAACGGCCACAUUGGGACUGAGAUACGGCCCAGACUCCUACGGGAGGCAGCAGUCGGGAAUAUUGCGCAAUGGAGGAAACUCUGACGCAGUGACGCCGCGUAUAGGAAGAAGGUUUUCGGAUUGUAAACUAUUGUCUGCAGGGAAGAAAAAAGACUGUACCUGCAAAGAAAGCUCCGGCUAACUACGUGCCAGCAGCCGCGGUAAUACGUAGGGAGCAAGCGUUAUCCGGAUUUAUUGGGUGUAAAGGGUGCGUAGACGGGAAAUUAAGUUAGUUGUGAAAUCCCUCGGCUCAACUGAGGAACUGCAACUAAAACUGAUUUUCUUGAGUGCAGGAGAGGAAAGUGGAAUUCCUAGUGUAGCGGUGAAAUGCGUAGAUAUUAGGAGGAACACCAGUGGCGAAGGCGACUUUCUGGACUGUAACUGACGUUGAGGCACGAAAGUGUGGGGAGCAAACAGGAUUAGAUACCCUGGUAGUCCACACUGUAAACGAUGGAUACUAGGUGUAGGAGGUAUUAAGCCUUCUGUGCCCGUCGCAAACGCAAUAAGUAUCCCACCUGGGGAGUACGACCGCAAGGUUGAAACUCAAAGGAAUUGACGGGGGCCCGCACAAGCAGUGGAGUAUGUGGUUUAAUUCGAAGCAACGCGAAGAACCUUACCAGGGCUUGACAUAUACAGGAAUAACUAAGAGAUUAGUUAGUUCUUCGGAACUUGUAUACAGGUGGUGCAUGGUUGUCGUCAGCUCGUGUCGUGAGAUGUUGGGUUAAGUCCCGCAACGAGCGCAACCCCUGUUUCUAGUUGCCAGCACGUAAAGGUGGGAACUCUAGAGAGACUGCCGUUGAUAAAACGGAGGAAGGUGGGGACGACGUCAAAUCAUCAUGCCCUUUAUGUCCUGGGCUACACACGUACUACAAUGGCUAUCACAGAGGGAAGCGAAAGAGUGAUCUGAAGCGAAACUCAAAAAAGUAGUCUCAGUUCGGAUUGUAGGCUGAAAUUCGCCUACAUGAAGCCGGAAUUGCUAGUAAUGGCAGGUCAGCAUACUGCCGUGAAUACGUUCCCGGGCCUUGUACACACCGCCCGUCACACCAUGAGAGUUGGGAAUACCCGAAGCCUGUGAGCUAACUGUAAAGAGGCAGCAGUCGAAGGUAGAAUCAAUGAUUGGGGUGGAGUCGUAACAAGGUAACC